GAUGAAGAACGCAGCGAAAUGCGAUAAGUAGUGUGAAUUGCAGAAUUUAGUGAAUCAUCGAAUCUUUGAACGCACAUUGCGCCCUAUAGUAUUCUGUAGGGCAUGCCUGUUCGAGCGUUAUUGAGACCUCAAGCUCUGCUUGGAAAUGGGCGCUUGUCUUGCCUUGCAGACUCGCCUUAAAACCAUUGGCAGCUGAUUUACAAUGUUUGGUGCACAGUACAUGAGCCCAAGUGUUGCAAUGAGUGGCCCAAAAGUAUACAAUAGAAGCUUAACCUCGGAUCAGGUAGGGAUACCCGCUGAACUUAAGCAUAUCAAUAAGCGGAGG
This 325-nucleotide unclassified non-coding RNA is filed under the name soil metagenome. RNAcentral describes it as "partial contains 5.8S ribosomal RNA, internal transcribed spacer 2, and large subunit ribosomal RNA". The stretch from base 1 to 120 matches the Rfam family "5.8S ribosomal RNA", at positions 35 to 154 of the family's 154-position model. The record is from RNAcentral.